GCGAGAAUGCGUGGGGCAGAUGAGUGUCUGGGUUGAAGAGCUGGGGUGGACAUUGGGGAAGGUUCCCACAACUGGCUUUUGCCCCAUGUGAUUGCGAACGACCUCUUAAGGCCAGAAGCUGGAUUUCAGGUGUUGCUACCCUAAGACUCUCAGGGAGACCAGGGCCCUCAGCAAGCCCUCUGGCUUUGGGUUUGACCGGCCAGAGUAGCCACCUCGUUGUUGACAUAGUUAUAUGACCCUCCAAAAUACAGCUACCUGUUUAGUUUCAACACGUCGGCUCGAUUGGUGAAACAUAAACCUAGACCAGUAACUAAAAGAAGAAAACUGCCUUUGCAAGCUUGUGCAGGAUGCAGAAUAAAUCCUCAUCAUGCAUCCCUGGUUUUAUUCAGCUUAAUUACACUAGAAAUCCUGCCCCCCACGAAAAAGCCUGGAACCCUGCAGUAGAGUUUCGAAAGGAGCAUUUUUUCGAGAUAAGAAGUGACCGAUCAAAAUCGCUGAGGGGAGGUUGUAAGCAGCCGCUUUGCCCCAGCUUAGCCUUAUCUUAUCUUUCACACUUGCAUGGCGGAAAAAAAUUGGCUUAUCUUUAUCCCCACCCCCUUCUCGCCUUAAUUGCUAAAAAACAUUGGUGUGUUAAACGGGCAGGAAGGAGGUCUCUGGAUUGUCAGUAGAACAGGAAGAUUCUAAUAUGUGGGGUCCUUGGGGAAAGAAGGGUGACAGUUUAUUUCCUUUAGGCCUUUCUUGUACAGUGCCCAGGGUCCAGUCCCAGCUGGCACCAUGACCAGAUUUCUUUUUUAAAAAGAAGAAUUAAACAAAAACAAAAACCCGUAUGGCUUUGGCUUGGGCAGCUUCCCAAGGCCUCUUUUUUCUCAGUACUCUGUUUACUAACCUCUCCCGUUCAUCUCUCCCCCCAAACUGUCAGUACUGUACCUUCACCC
Molecule: long non-coding RNA, 935 nt
Filed under: Cricetulus griseus (Chinese hamster)
Lineage: Eukaryota; Metazoa; Chordata; Mammalia; Rodentia; Cricetidae
Description: lncRNA (ENSCGRG00015033835.1)
Source: RNAcentral